This 1214-nucleotide long non-coding RNA is filed under the name Homo sapiens (human). RNAcentral describes it as "long intergenic non-protein coding RNA 2327". The record is from RNAcentral. Lineage: Eukaryota; Metazoa; Chordata; Mammalia; Primates; Hominidae.
AUACUCCUUCCUGCUGCUCUGCAGUCCACUUCCACAGACCAGCCAACUGAAUCUCCUUAUAGAUUCAUAAUGGCCAUCAGCACAAAGAUGUUUUAUCUGCAGUCAACCAGUCAUGUUUCAUGAUGGCAUCAAAAUUAUUCUCUUCUAGCAGUGGAAGGAGGAGACACGAUCAAAUCAUUUAUAGCUUUAGGAUCUUCCAGUUGUGCUUCCCUUUACCUGAUAUCCAUAGAUACGUUUUCUUGAUUCUAAAAAUGUAUAAGCAAGAAGAACCCCACUUCUAAUUGCUACUGAGCAUUGCCCAGAUCUUAGCACCUAAAGUUAUAAGCAAUCCAGAACACAUGUUAUUGGGUGAACUGUGUCCCCCAAAAUUUCAGAUGUGGAAGCCCUAAACCCCAGUACCUAGAAUGUGACUGUAUUUGGAGAUAAAGGUCUUAAAGGAGGUGAUGAAGUUAAAAUGAGGCCAUUAGGGUGAGAAUCAAUACAAUCUGAUUGGUGUCCUUGUAAGAAGAGGAAAUUCGGACAGAGAGAGAGGGAUACAGGAAUGCAGGCGCACAAGAGAAGGACCAUGCGAGGAGACAGCAAGGAGGCAGCCAUCUACAAACCAAGGAGAGAGCCCUCAGAGGAAACCAAACCUUGAAUUUGAACUUCUGCCUCCAGAACUGUGGAAAAAAUACAUUUUUUGUUGUUUAAGCCACCCAGUCUGUGGUAUUUUAUUAUGGGGGCUCUAGCAAACUAAUACAACGUAUUUUUUUUUGAUUCAGUAAAAUCAAAUUAUUGGCUUCUCCUUGCACACAAUUGGCUCAGUCUUGCCAAUAUGUGUACAUAUUAGUUCUUAUUAUGUCCACCAAUCUCUCCUUCAAAAUGUAGCUUAACAUCUACUUUCUCCAGGGACCGUCUCCUACUUAUUCCAUUCCAAUUGAUUACUCUCAUAACAUCUGAGUCUUAAGAAAGUCAUGUGUUUGUAUAUCUGUGUUACUUCAGAAAUACUAUCAUUUGUUGGGGUUGUUGCUGUGCUGUGUGUUACUGGCUAUUGAUCAGGCUUCCUAAAGUCAGGAAAUAUUCUUCUCCCUGAUGGCAUGAUUCUCCUCUUUCUAUUUCAAUGGUUAUGAAAAAAGGCAAAAUUCACUCUUUGCCAGACACUCUUAUAAUACAUUAUAUGCCUUGUCUCAUUUAACAUUAGUCUUUGUGUUAAAGAAAAUAAACUACAUAAAAUG